GCUGGGUGUGGAGGCACACACCUGUAAUCCCAGCAACUUGGGAGGCUGAGGCAGGAGGAUUGCAGGUUGAAGGCCAGCCUCCACAACUUAGAACCUGUCUCAA
This 103-nucleotide small RNA is filed under the name Marmota monax (woodchuck). Lineage: Eukaryota; Metazoa; Chordata; Mammalia; Rodentia; Sciuridae. The record is from RNAcentral.